Oncorhynchus tshawytscha (Chinook salmon) is the source of this 1592-nucleotide long non-coding RNA. The record is from Ensembl. NCBI's taxonomy places the organism in Eukaryota, Metazoa, Chordata, Actinopteri, Salmoniformes, Salmonidae.
UUUUGGAUAUAUAUUAGAUAUUAGACGUCUCUAGAUUUUCCACAAAACCCUGUCAGCGUUUCUGACCAAAGUGGAACAUGUUGGCUGCGUUGUCUUACUAUCUAUCUGUUCUGAGUUUUUCCUUCCUCUCUUUCUUUCACAACCGAGACAAGUACCGACGAGCUGAGUAGCAAACACACUUCUGAUCAUUACAUCUGAAACUAUAGCUUCUUUUUUAUUUCCUGUUUUCUUGAGGGGCUGAGAGCGGAUGCACGGCACAGCGAUCAAUACGGCGCUCUAAAGCAGUGGGAGUAAGAACAAUUGAGAUACACUUAGAACAAGACCUGGGAUCCAACUUGAGAGAGGGGAAAUGCUACAGCAACACUUUCAGGUGUACCAUUGAGAACAUGCCAUGCAUGUUACCUCAGAAAGCAAGCUCACGUGUCACAGAUGUGUUAUAAAUCAUUCUGUAAAAUUCCACAUGGAAAAAUUCUCACAGAAAAAGGCAGCACAAGCAUGAACCGAAGAUCUAAAUAAAAUGAGACUUUCAUGGAAUAGACAAUGAGACAACAAUUGAAACUCUGUUUGACAUUUUCUUUUUGUGUCCCUCAUGUUUUUGUUCAAACAAAACACACAAAAAACUAAGACGAAGGACAUCAUAAAAUCAUAAAAAACACAAAAAGGAAAAUAAACCCCACGUUGAAAAAGGAUGAUGAGAGAAGAGUGUGAGACACUUGGAACAGCAACAGCAGAGGAUUGCACAUGUCAAUGAUCCGUUCUACACCUCCCUACCGCCCCCUCCCCGACCCCCCGAAAACAAAGGGGGAAAAAUCUGAGUGCUUGCGUCAUCCAUUAGAUGGGAAAGGAGGGGAGAAAUGAAGGGAGGGAGCCUAAGGGGUUUAACAGUGUGCCAAACAUCAGUGAGAUUUCUUCUCUAUAAAAAGAACAGAACGGUGCAGAAAUAUUCGUAUUUUUUUCAAAUCAUCAAACAGGUGAAAGAGGAUCCUUUUUUCACCGCGAAUAAAAUCAAGAAUUUGUUGUUGUUUUUUUGUUCAUUUAAAAAUGUCUCAGUCCGUUUUCACGCGCCUGUUCUCUCAUUUAAAGUGUCUGUGUGAAAAUAUAGCAGAGACCAGUUUUCUUUCCUUUGUCCUUGUCCACUGUAGUAGUAAACAAAUGAUAGAAUCCUGUAGAACGCACAUCUUAGGGUGUGAAGAGUGGUGUGGAGGAGUGCUGUGUGUCUGUCUGUAUGUACAUGUUGGUACCUGUAUGUCUGCACUUGAACCAGUUUGUUUGUGGUUGUGUGUGUUUCUCUGAUUCUGAAUGUACCUGCUUUUGCAUUUCUAUGUGUGUGAAUAUAUUACUACUACAUUUCUAUGUGUAUGUGUUUCUGUGUGUUUCUGUGUGUUUCUGUAUGUGUGUGUGUGUGUGUGUGUGUGUGUGUUUCUGUAUGUGUGUAUAUGUGUUUAUGCGUGUGUGUGUUUCUGCAUGUGUGUGUGUAUUUCUGGAUGUGUAUUUCUGUAUGUGUGUAUAUGUUUGUGUUUCUGCAUGUAUGUGUGUGUUUCUGUAUCUGUGAGUGUUUCUGCAUGUGUGUGUGUGUUUCUUCGUGUCUGUGU